AGUGAACGCUGGCGGUAGGCCUAACACAUGCAAGUCGAACGGCAGCACAGUAAGAGCUUGCUCUUACGGGUGGCGAGUGGCGGACGGGUGAGGAAUACAUCGGAAUCUACUUUUUCGUGGGGGAUAACGUAGGGAAACUUACGCUAAUACCGCAUACGACCUACGGGUGAAAGCAGGGGAUCUUCGGACCUUGCGCGAAUGAAUGAGCCGAUGUCGGAUUAGCUAGUUGGCGGGGUAAAGGCCCACCAAGGCGACGAUCCGUAGCUGGUCUGAGUGGAUGAUCGGCCACACUGGAACUGAGACACGGUCCAGACUCCUACGAGAGGCAGCAGUGGGGAAUAUUGGACAAUGGGCGCAAGCCUGAUCCAGCCAGACCGCGUGGGUGAAGAAGGCCUUCCGGUUGGAAAGCCCUUUUGUUGGGUAAGAAAAGCAGCAGGUUAAUACCCCGCGGUUCUGACGGUACCCAAAGAAUAAGCACCGGCUAACUUCGUG
RNAcentral lists this ribosomal RNA (492 nucleotides) under uncultured bacterium. Its description in RNAcentral is "partial 16S ribosomal RNA". It matches the Rfam family "Bacterial small subunit ribosomal RNA", at positions 29 to 507 of the family's 1533-position model. The record is from RNAcentral.